GAUGAACGCUGGCGGCGUGCCUAACACAUGCAAGUCGAGCGAACGGACGAGAAGCUUGCUCUUCUGAUGUUAGCGGCGGACGGGUGAGUAACACGUGGAUCACCUACCUAUAUGACUGGGAUAACUUCGUGAAACCGGAUCUAAUACCGGAUAAUAUUUUGUACGGCAUGGUUCAAAAGUGAAUCACGGUCUUCCUGUCACUUAUAGAUGAAUUCGCGCUGCAUUAGCUAGUUGGUAAGGUAACGGCUUACCAAGGCGACGAUGCAUAGCCGACCUGAGAGGGUGAUCAGCCACACUGGAACUGAGACACGGUCCAGACUCCUACGGGAGGCAGCAGUAGGGAAUAUUGGACAAUGGGCGAAAGCCUGACGGAGCAACGCCGCGUGAGUGAAGAAGGUCUUCGGGUCGUAAAACUCUGUUGUUAGGGAAGAACAGAAGCAUAAGAAACUGUCGACAUCUUGACGGUACCUAAACAGUAAGCAACGGCUAACUUCGUG
Molecule: ribosomal RNA, 497 nt
Filed under: uncultured bacterium
Lineage: Bacteria
Description: partial 16S ribosomal RNA
Rfam family: Bacterial small subunit ribosomal RNA
Source: RNAcentral